GACGAACGGCUGGCGGCGUGCUUAACACAUGCAAGUCGAACGGUGACGAGGAGCUUGCUCCUCCGAUCAGUGGCGAACGGGUGAGUAACACGUGAGCAACCUGCCCCAGACUCUGGGAUAACAGUUGGAAACAGCUGCUAAUACCGGAUACGAGACGGAGAGGCAUCUCUACCGUCUGGAAAGUUUUUCGGUCUGGGAUGGACUCGCGGCCUAUCAGCUAGUUGGUGAGGUAAUGGCUCACCAAGGCGACGACGGGUAGCCGGCCUGAGAGGGCGACCGGCCACACUGGGACUGAGACACGGCCCAGACUCCUACGGGAGGCAGCAGUGGGGAAUAUUGCACAAUGGGCGAAAGCCUGAUGCAGCGACGCCGCGCGAGGGAUGACGGCCUUCGGGUUGUAAACCUCUUUCAGCAGGGAAGAAGCGCAAGUGACGGUACCUGCAGAAGAAGCACCGGCUAACUACGUG
RNAcentral lists this ribosomal RNA (467 nucleotides) under uncultured bacterium. RNAcentral describes it as "bacterial SSU rRNA". It matches the Rfam family "Bacterial small subunit ribosomal RNA", at positions 35 to 507 of the family's 1533-position model. The record is from RNAcentral.